This 506-nucleotide ribosomal RNA is filed under the name uncultured bacterium. RNAcentral describes it as "partial 16S ribosomal RNA". It matches the Rfam family "Bacterial small subunit ribosomal RNA", at positions 29 to 523 of the family's 1533-position model. The record is from RNAcentral.
AGUGAACGCUGGCGGUAGGCCUAACACAUGCAAGUCGAACGGCAGCACAGGAGAGCUUGCUCUCUGGGUGGCGAGUGGCGGACGGGUGAGGAAUACAUCGGAAUCUACUCUGUCGUGGGGGAGAACGUAGGGAAACUUACGCUAAUACCGCAUACGACCUACGGGUGAAAGCAGGGGAUCUUCGGACCUUGCGCGAUUGAAUGAGCCGAUGUCGGAUUAGUUAGUUGGCGGGGUAAAGGCCCACAAAGGCGACGAUCCGUAGCUGGUCUGAGAGGAUGGUCAGCCACACUGGAACUGAGACACGGUCCAGACUCCUACGGGAGGCAGCAGUGGGGAAUAUUGGACAAUGGGCGCAAGCCUGAUCCAGCCAUACCGCGUGGGUGAAGAAGGCCCUCGGGUUGUAAAGCCCUUUUGUUGGGAACGAAAUCCAGCUGGCUAAUACCCGGUUGGGAUGACGGUACCCAAAGAAUAAGCACCGGCUAACUUCGUGCCAGCCGCCGCCGUAA